This 70-nucleotide transfer RNA is filed under the name Bracteacoccus aerius. Its description in RNAcentral is "tRNA-Cys". It matches the Rfam family "tRNA". Rfam says of the family: Transfer RNA (tRNA) molecules are approximately 80 nucleotides in length. Lineage: Eukaryota; Viridiplantae; Chlorophyta; Chlorophyceae; Sphaeropleales; Bracteacoccaceae. The record is from RNAcentral.
GGUUGAGUCGUCUAAUGGUAAGGCGUGAGAUUGCAAAUCUUAAAAUAGCAGUUCGACUCUGCUCCCAACC